GAGUGUAUAGCUCAGCUGGUAGAGCAUUUGGCUUUUAACUAAAUGGUCGUAGGUUCGAAUCCUGCUACACUUA
Molecule: transfer RNA, 73 nt
Filed under: Teleaulax amphioxeia
Lineage: Eukaryota; Cryptophyceae; Pyrenomonadales; Geminigeraceae
Description: tRNA-Lys
Rfam family: tRNA
About the family: Transfer RNA (tRNA) molecules are approximately 80 nucleotides in length. Their secondary structure includes four short double-helical elements and three loops (D, anti-codon, and T loops).
Source: RNAcentral